Molecule: non-coding RNA, 72 nt
Organism: Podarcis lilfordi (Lilford's wall lizard)
Lineage: Eukaryota; Metazoa; Chordata; Lepidosauria; Squamata; Lacertidae
Source: the annotation of a GenBank genome assembly
GGCAGUAUGGUGCAGUGGUUAGAGUACCAGGCUAGGAUCUGGGAGACCUGGGUUCAAAUCCCCACUGAGCCA